This 1296-nucleotide ribosomal RNA is filed under the name Rhabdoblatta atra. Its description in RNAcentral is "16S ribosomal RNA". The stretch from base 1052 to 1210 matches the Rfam family "Bacterial large subunit ribosomal RNA", at positions 2473 to 2632 of the family's 2925-position model. The record is from RNAcentral. Lineage: Eukaryota; Metazoa; Arthropoda; Insecta; Blattodea; Blaberidae.
UAAGGUUUAUUUACUUUAAAUUUAAAGUUGUUAAAGGUUUAAGAAAAUCAUUUUAUUGUUAUUGUAUAUGUUAUUGAUUUAAUAGAUUGAGUUAUAAUUAAUUAGUACUGUGAAGGAAUAAUUAGAAUGGAUAAUUAUUAAUUUAGAAGUUGAAUUUAUUUUUUGUACCUUGUGUAUCAGGGUUAAUUAAUAAUAUUUUAUUAAUGUUAAUUUUCUCGAUUUCUUUAGAGUUAAUAAGUUAUUUUAGUUAUUGUUGAAGAACUAAUAAUAAUAAUUUAUUGGUAAUGAUAUGUUAAUCGUUAAUGAGGAUAUCUAGUUUUUUAGGAAAUAAAUUUAAUUUAAAUUUUUUCUUUAAUAUUUUUCUUUGAAAUGGGUUUUAAGUUAAAAUUAAUAAUAAAGGGGAUAAGCUUUUUAUUAAAAAUUUAUAGGGUAUUUAGUUUAUGAAGUUAUGUGGAUUUAAUAAUUAUUAAUAUUUUAAGUAUGUUAAAAUAUUACUUUUUUAUUUAAUGAUUUUUUUUCCUUUAAGAAUUUACUAAUUUUUUUUAAUUAAUUAUUUUAUUAAUUAAAAUUAUGAUUAAAUUAGUAUAAUUUUUUUUAUAAAAUUUUUUGAAUGUGAAGUUGAGUUGAGGAACUAGGCAAUCUUUAUUGUUCGCCUGUUUAACAAAAACAUCUCUUCUUGUUUAUUUAGGAAGUAUAACCUGCCCAAUGAUGAAUUUAAUGGCCGCAGUAUAUUGACUGUGCAAAGGUAGCAUAAUCAUUAGUCUUUUAAUUGAAGGCUGGAAUGAAUGGUUAGACGAGAUAAUAACUAUCUUAAUUUUAUUUUUAUUUGAAUUUAAUCUUUAAGUUAAAAAGCUUAAAUAUUUUUUUGGGACGAGAAGACCCUAUAGAGUUUAAUAUUUAUUUUAAUUAAUAAUGUUUGUAAAUAGAUAGAAUUUUUAUAAUUAUUUUGUUGGGGUGAUGGAAAGAUAAGUAUAACUCUUUUUAUAAAUUGAUUAUAAAUUUAUAUAAUAAUGAUCCAUUAUUAAUGAUUAGAAGACUAAAUUACCUUAGGGAUAACAGCGUAAUUUUUUUUAAGAGUUCAUAUCAACAAGAAAGAUUGCGACCUCGAUGUUGGAUUAAGAUUAUAUUUAGGUGAAGAAGCUUAAAUAUUAGGUCUGUUCGACCUUUAAAAUCUUACAUGAUCUGAGUUCAAACCGGCGUGAGCCAGGUUGGUUUCUAUCUAAUAGUAAUUAGAAUAUCUUAGUACGAAAGGACCAGAUAUUUAAAAUAAUUUUUUUUGUUGUUGAUUAUUAAUAA